RNAcentral lists this ribosomal RNA (449 nucleotides) under uncultured bacterium. Its description in RNAcentral is "partial 16S ribosomal RNA". It matches the Rfam family "Bacterial small subunit ribosomal RNA", at positions 29 to 523 of the family's 1533-position model. The record is from RNAcentral.
AACGAACGCUGGCGGCAUGCCUAACACAUGCAAGUCGAACGAGAUCUUCGGGUCUAGUGGCGCACGGGUGCGUAACGCGUGGGGAUCUGCCCUUUGGUUCGGAAUAACAGUGGGAAACCGCUGCUAAUACCGGAUGAUGACGUAAGUCCAAAGAUUUAUCGCCCAAGGAUGAGCCCGCGUAGGAUUAGCUAGUUGGUGGGGUAAUGGCCCACCAAGGCGACGAGCCUUAGCUGGUCUGAGAGGAUGAUCAGCCACACUGGGACUGAGACACGGCCCAGACUCCUACGGGAGGCAGCAGUGGGGAAUAUUGGACAAUGGGCGAAAGCCUGAUCCAGCAAUGCCGCGUGAGUGAUGAAGGCCUUAGGGUUGUAAAGCUCUUUUACCCGGGAUGAUAAUGACAGUACCGGGAGAAUAAGCUCCGGCUAACUCCGUGCCAGCCGCCGCGGUAA